CUCUGGAAACUGGUAAGAAACUUGGUGUUUUAUGUCAGUGACAGUGCUUUCGGGAUCUUGUACGAUGAUAACGAAAAUCUAAAUAUUAAUUUAAAUUUUCCAUUUGUGUAAUUUUUCUAAUCGUGAAAAUAAUGAAGAUGCAAAUUUCUAAUCAUUUUUUAUUUUCAAAAUCAAUCACAAAUCUGAAUCCGAAUCUUGGAUACGACGUCCCCACGAUUCUUAUUUUUUUGAAUUUUAAAAUAUGGGAUUGUUCGAUGUAUCUAUACUAUUAAACAAG
RNAcentral lists this long non-coding RNA (277 nucleotides) under Brassica napus (rape). Its description in RNAcentral is "long non-coding RNA (BNAP_LNC015130)". Lineage: Eukaryota; Viridiplantae; Streptophyta; Magnoliopsida; Brassicales; Brassicaceae. The record is from RNAcentral.